AAAGGAAACACAAAACGACAAAAACGAGACAAAAAAGGACAAAAACUUUGACAAAAAAAGUUGGAAAGCGACAAAAAAUGACAAAAUAUCUAGAAACAAAAUGACAAAAAAAUAGACUGAAUACAAGCGAGACAAAAAAAAUGAAAUGACAAAAAUGACACUCAAAGCAACGAAUAAAGUAAAACA
This is a long non-coding RNA of Acanthochromis polyacanthus (spiny chromis), 186 nucleotides long. RefSeq lists it as uncharacterized. The transcript is spliced from 2 exons. The record is from RefSeq and is a predicted model, not a curated record. NCBI's taxonomy places the organism in Eukaryota, Metazoa, Chordata, Actinopteri, Pomacentridae.